Molecule: ribosomal RNA, 1372 nt
Filed under: uncultured bacterium
Lineage: Bacteria
Description: bacterial SSU rRNA
Rfam family: Bacterial small subunit ribosomal RNA
Source: RNAcentral
GAUGAACGCUGGCGGCGUGCCUAAUACAUGCAAGUCGAGCGAACGGACGAGAAGCUUGCUUCUCUGAUGUUAGCGGCGGACGGGUGAGUAACACGUGGAUAACCUACCUAUAAGACUGGGAUAACUUCGGGAAACCGGAGCUAAUACCGGAUAAUAUUUUGAACCGCAUGGUUCAAAAGUGAAAGACGGUCUUGCUGUCACUUAUAGAUGGAUCCGCGCUGCAUUAGCUAGUUGGUAAGGUAACGGCUCACCAAGGCAACGAUGCAUAGCCGACCUGAGAGGGUGAUCGGCCACACUGGAACUGAGACACGGUCCAGACUCCUACGGGAGGCAGCAGUAGGGAAUCUUCCGCAAUGGGCGAAAGCCUGACGGAGCAACGCCGCGUGAGUGAUGAAGGUCUUCGGAUCGUAAAACUCUGUUAUUAGGGAAGAACAUAUGUGUAAGUAACUGUGCACAUCUUGACGGUACCUAAUCAGAAAGCCACGGCUAACUACGUGCCAGCAGCCGCGGUAAUACGUAGGUGGCAAGCGUUAUCCGGAAUUAUUGGGCGUAAAGCGCGCGUAGGCGGUUUUUUAAGUCUGAUGUGAAAGCCCACGGCUCAACCGUGGAGGGUCAUUGGAAACUGGAAAACUUGAGUGCAGAAGAGGAAAGUGGAAUUCCAUGUGUAGCGGUGAAAUGCGCAGAGAUAUGGAGGAACACCAGUGGCGAAGGCGACUUUCUGGUCUGUAACUGACGCUGAUGUGCGAAAGCGUGGGGAUCGAACAGGAUUAGAUACCCUGGUAGUCCACGCCGUAAACGAUGAGUGCUAAGUGUUAGGGGGUUUCCGCCCCUUAGUGCUGCAGCUAACGCAUUAAGCACUCCGCCUGGGGAGUACGACCGCAAGGUUGAAACUCAAAGGAAUUGACGGGGACCCGCACAAGCGGUGGAGCAUGUGGUUUAAUUCGAAGCAACGCGAAGAACCUUACCAAAUCUUGACAUCCUUUGACAACUCUAGAGAUAGAGCCUUCCCCUUCGGGGGACAAAGUGACAGGUGGUGCAUGGUUGUCGUCAGCUCGUGUCGUGAGAUGUUGGGUUAAGUCCCGCAACGAGCGCAACCCUUAAGCUUAGUUGCCAUCAUUAAGUUGGGCACUCUAAGUUGACCGCCGGUGACAAACCGGAGGAAGGUGGGGAUGACGUCAAAUCAUCAUGCCCCUUAUGAUUUGGGCUACACACGUGCUACAAUGGACAAUACAAAGGGCAGCGAAACCGCGAGGUCAAGCAAAUCCCAUAAAGUUGUUCUCAGUUCGGAUUGUAGUCUGCAACUCGACUACAUGAAGCUGGAAUCGCUAGUAAUCGUAGAUCAGCAUGCUACGGUGAAUACGUUCCCGGGUCU